UUAAGCAUAUCAAUAAGCGGAGGAAAAGAAACUAACAAGGAUUCCCCUAGUAACUGCGAGUGAAGCGGGAAAAGCUCAAAUUUAAAAUCUGGUGGCUUUAUAGUCAUCCGAGUUGUAAUUUAGAGGAGCGUCUUCCGCGCUGGACCAUGCACAAGUCUCCUGGAAUGGAGCGUCAUAGAGGGUGAGAAUCCCGUCUUUGG
Molecule: ribosomal RNA, 200 nt
Filed under: uncultured Russula
Lineage: Eukaryota; Fungi; Basidiomycota; Agaricomycetes; Russulales; Russulaceae
Description: partial 28S rRNA
Rfam family: Eukaryotic large subunit ribosomal RNA
Source: RNAcentral